This is a non-coding RNA of Podarcis lilfordi (Lilford's wall lizard), 71 nucleotides long. The record is from the annotation of a GenBank genome assembly. Lineage: Eukaryota; Metazoa; Chordata; Lepidosauria; Squamata; Lacertidae.
GGGUCGUAGCUCAGUGGUAGAUCAUCUGCUUUGCAUGUAGAUGGUCCCAGAUUCAAUCCACAGCAUGUCCA